AGUCUGACGGAGCACGCCGCGUGAGUGAAGAAGGUUUUCGGAUCGUAAAACUCUGUUGUGAGGGAAGAACAAGUACCAACUAACUACUGGUACCUUGACGGUACCUCACCAGAAAGCCACGGCUAACUACGUGCCAGCAGCCGCGGUAAUACGUAGGUGGCAAGCGUUGUCCGGAAUUAUUGGGCGUAAAGCGCGCGCAGGCGGUCCUUUAAGUCUGAUGUGAAAGCCCACGGCUCAACCGUGGAGGGUCAUUGGAAACUGGGGGACUUGAGUGCAGAAGAGGAAAGUGGAAUUCCACGUGUAGCGGUGAAAUGCGUAGAGAUGUGGAGGAACACCAGUGGCGAAGGCGACUUUCUGGUCUGUAACUGACGCUGAGGCGCGAAAGCGUGGGGAGCAAACAGGAUUAGAUACCCUGGUAGUCCACGCCGUAAACGAUGAGUGCUAAGUGUUAGGGGGUUUCCGCCCCUUAGUGCUGCAGCUAACGCAUUAAGCACUCCGCCUGG
RNAcentral lists this ribosomal RNA (503 nucleotides) under Planococcus sp. FB3. RNAcentral describes it as "bacterial SSU rRNA". It matches the Rfam family "Bacterial small subunit ribosomal RNA", at positions 380 to 876 of the family's 1533-position model. RNAcentral also lists the same sequence under 1 other name. Lineage: Bacteria; Bacillati; Bacillota; Bacilli; Caryophanales; Caryophanaceae. The record is from RNAcentral.